AUUGAACGCUGGCGGAAUGCUUUACACAUGCAAGUCGAACGGCAGCACGGGGGCAACCCUGGUGGCGAGUGGCGAACGGGUGAGUAAUACAUCGGAACGUGCCCAGUCGUGGGGGAUAAUGUAGCGAAAGUUACGCUAAUACCGCAUACGAUCUACGGAUGAAAGCGGGGGACCGUAAGGCCUCGCGCGAUUGGAGCGGCCGAUGUCAGAUUAGGUAGUUGGUGAGGUAAAGGCUCACCAAGUCGACGAUCUGUAGCUGGUCUGAGAGGACGACCAGCCCCACUGGGACUGAGGCACGGCCCAGACUCCUACGGGAGGCAGCAGUGGGGAAUUUUGGACAAUGGGCGCAAGCCUGAUCCAGCCAUUCCGCGUGCAGGACGAAGGCCUUCGGGUUGUAAACUGCUUUUGUACGGAACGAAAAGGCUCUGGUUAAUACCUGGGGCUCAUGACGGUACCGUAAGAAUAAGCACCGGCUAACUACGUGCCAGCAGCCGCCGUAA
RNAcentral lists this ribosomal RNA (500 nucleotides) under uncultured bacterium. Its description in RNAcentral is "partial 16S ribosomal RNA". It matches the Rfam family "Bacterial small subunit ribosomal RNA", at positions 30 to 523 of the family's 1533-position model. The record is from RNAcentral.